This 301-nucleotide ribosomal RNA is filed under the name uncultured bacterium. Its description in RNAcentral is "partial 16S ribosomal RNA". It matches the Rfam family "Bacterial small subunit ribosomal RNA", at positions 509 to 807 of the family's 1533-position model. The record is from RNAcentral.
CAGCCGCCGCGGGAAUACGUAGGUGGCAAGCGUUGUCCGGAAUUAUUGGGCGUAAAGGGCUCGCAGGCGGUUUCUUAAGUCUGAUGUGAAAGCCCCCGGCUCAACCGGGGAGGGUCAUUGGAAACUGGGGAACUUGAGUGCAGAAGAGGAGAGUGGAAUUCCACGUGUAGCGGUGAAAUGCGUAGAGAUGUGGAGGAACACCAGUGGCGAAGGCGACUCUCUGGUCUGUAACUGACGCUGAGGAGCGAAAGCGUGGGGAGCGAACAGGAUUAGAUACCCCAGUAGUCCCUGUCUCUUAUAC